CCAUAACACAGGUGCUGCAUGGCUGUCGUCAGCUCGUGUCGUGAGAUGUUGGUUAAGUCCGCAACGAGCGCAACCCUUGUCAUUAGUUGCUACAUUCAGUUGGGCACUCUAAUGAGACUGCCGGUGACAAACCGGAGGAAGGUGGGGAUGACGUCAAGUCCUCAUGGCCCUUAUAGGUGGGGCUACACACGUCAUACAAUGGCCGGUACAAAGGGUCGCAAACCCGCGAGGGGGAGCCAAUCCAUCAAAGCCGGUCGUAGUCCGGAUCGCAGUCUGCAACUCGACUGCGUGAAGUCGGAAUCGCUAGUAAUCGUGGAUCAGCAUGUCACGGUGAAUACGUUCCCGGGUCUU
This 351-nucleotide ribosomal RNA is filed under the name uncultured Hydrogenophaga sp. RNAcentral describes it as "bacterial SSU rRNA". It matches the Rfam family "Bacterial small subunit ribosomal RNA", at positions 1027 to 1382 of the family's 1533-position model. The record is from RNAcentral. Lineage: Bacteria; Pseudomonadati; Pseudomonadota; Betaproteobacteria; Burkholderiales; Comamonadaceae.